Molecule: transfer RNA, 87 nt
Filed under: Candidatus Endomicrobiellum neotermitis
Lineage: Bacteria; Pseudomonadati; Elusimicrobiota; Endomicrobiia; Endomicrobiales; Endomicrobiaceae
Description: tRNA-Leu
Rfam family: tRNA
About the family: Transfer RNA (tRNA) molecules are approximately 80 nucleotides in length. Their secondary structure includes four short double-helical elements and three loops (D, anti-codon, and T loops).
Source: RNAcentral
GCUGAGGUGGUGGAAACGGCAGACACACAGGUUUCAGAGACCUGUUGCUUACAAAAAGCAGUAUGGGUUCAAAUCCCAUCCUCAGCA